AAUCCGUUCCAAGUGCCUUACUUGUUCUAGCCCACUGCGUUCUCCUGGACUCAGUGAGGACACGUGCAGACAUUCUGAUGACCAGGGAGAAAGAGAUGGCGCAUUCCAGGUGAUGAGACAGCAGAGGUGUGGAGGGUUCACUUCCCGAGUGAAGAGAUCUGUGUCCACAUGGGACCAUUUUUACA
Long non-coding RNA from Eubalaena glacialis (North Atlantic right whale), 185 nucleotides. RefSeq lists it as uncharacterized. The record is from RefSeq and is a predicted model, not a curated record. NCBI's taxonomy places the organism in Eukaryota, Metazoa, Chordata, Mammalia, Artiodactyla, Balaenidae. The transcript is spliced from 3 exons.